Notothenia coriiceps (black rockcod) is the source of this 2535-nucleotide long non-coding RNA. RefSeq lists it as uncharacterized. Lineage: Eukaryota; Metazoa; Chordata; Actinopteri; Perciformes; Nototheniidae. The record is from RefSeq and is a predicted model, not a curated record. The transcript is spliced from 2 exons.
CUCUUCUCCUAAGUCCUUUUGAGUUCUCCUAUCCACUAUCCCUUAACCCCGUGACGUUUCACACAGAGGUCAAGGGAUUGACGAUAGGAAUAAACGAUAGGAGCUGAUUUUUGGACUAUUCGACCGCAACCCAGGACAGACAAUCAAAACAGGCGGGGAAACACACAAAGACAGGAAGUUAAAAACAGACAUGACACAUGCACAAAAGGUUUUUAAAAAAACAAAGCAAAGUAAUCAUAUCACUCAGAUUGACCCCUUUAUUCCAGAUCGGAUUUUUUGAAUGGCAGUGAAAUAGAAAAGGAAGGGGAUACAUCAACACAAGCUACAUGUGUUGCACUGACUGGAGACCACUCACACUACCUCAGUGUGACAGCAGACCUAAUUGGUUAAAAAUGGCAACUGCACUUGUUUGCGUUAGGUGUGGUGAAAACAGAGGAAAUACUUUUUGUUUAACCAUGCUCCAGUUUCUUGAAGUUACACAGGAGUGGGGGAUAGUGGACACGGUUACCACUGUAGGAACAGAUAGUGCUCGCAGUAUGUUAGCGGUAGCAACAUACUGAGCAUAUGUUCUGUGUAGCCACAUUAUACAGAGAGGGACCACAGGGGCUCUCUGUGACAGCGGUUUGUCAAUAUGACAACAAUUCAGAAAUCAUGUUAUAAUAAAAUAAAAUACCCUCUCUUUUUUAACAGUUUGUCAUGCAUUUUUUUAUGAUGACACCACCCGGGUAUUUGUUUUAUCCCCCCCCAAAAUACAAGUAAAUGCUAGAAUUUCUUGACACCCUGACAGAUACAGUUACUGUUUCAUUUACAGUUGAGUGAGUGCUGUAAUACAAUGUGUGUCUUUCUCAACAGAAAUCUUUGGCCAGUUGUCUAAUGGGAUGAACAUGACUCUUCUUGAAUCAGAGUGGAUGUACCUUUCGAUGUACACUUAAACUGAAAUGGCGGCAGGAUGCACUUGGAAUCACAGCAGCACAUAAAGCUGAAGAAAAGUUGUGUAUUUCUUUACAAUCCUAUGUUCAUACAAAUGUAUGUUCACACAGAAAAUAAUCAUUUCUGUUUGAAGGUUUGAGGUAACUUUAGGUAUAUUUCUUAGGGUUUAGGGCAAAUAUUAGAUUAAUAAACAUUUUCUUUAGGAAUUGGUUUUGCAAGCUUUUCCAAAAAGUGAGACAACCCAAUGCAAGCUGACAAGAACAUGCAGGACAUAUUUUGUAUACGCAAACCCCGAAAGGAAGCAUUGCUCUGGUUCUAUUGACAAAUAGCCAAUGAGAUGUUUUCAAUUGGACUGAUUCAGAAAAUAAUCUCUGUGGCAAACAAACGUUACACUUUUGGUUUUUAUGAUUUGUGUGUACAUACAAAUUGGCGUAAGUAAAAAGUUAAUGUUAGGCUACAAACCAACAACACACAACAUGACUUCAUUUUACAACCACUUGCAGAUUUUUAGUAAUGUCAAUUACCUGCUCGGAACCAGUGUUUUUGGAGACACAAAACAGCUUUGGAAAAACACAAGUGGGGUAUUUACUGACAUAUUUGAUGUUGCAUAACAAAACAUUAAAAUCUUUAACCUGUGUGAACAAAGGAGAAAUGUGCGCUGAUGUUCCAAAACCUACAAGUGUCUGUCACAGCUGUCAUCACCCGAACACUCCCCUGCAACUGCCAAUUGGCCUCCGCCCAGUUCUGGAUUAGCCAUAAGGUGGGCGGUGUAGUCACUAUAGCAACAGAAAACGUUGUCUUUAUGGUUGUCACUCUAACUAAGCUUAGACUUCUUACGUUAGUUAAAAAUACUGUUCAAACUGAAAAUCAGAUUUCAAUCAAUGUAUUACAGAUUUGAUCAUCAAAGCGCAGUUUUAUUAAAAACAGAACUGGAAGAUGACCACAACAAUUGUAUCAAAUCAACAAUUAUGGGUGAUGGGUGUUAAGAAAACUGUGAUUUUAACAUAUCUUAUAUCUCAAUAUAUUUGUGUUAUACUAUGACUGGAUUUUGUGUGUGUUUUUAGCCAUGGUAGCCUCUGGUCAGUCCUCUAUUUUAUAUCCCAAUAACUAUUUGAUGGAUUGUCUAUAUUUAUGUUAAUAUUCAUGGUGCCACCAGUAUGUAGCAUAAUACAUUUGUUGAUUACAUUUCUUAGGCGGAUGGAUUUUCAAUUAAAUUUGGUUCAGACAUGCAUUCUCCCUGAAUACUUUAAAAAAAAAAAAUGCUAUUCACAUUGGUGAUCCCUUACCUUUACAACUAGCCCCACCAUCUGGACAUACUUAUAAUUGUCCAAACCAAAUUUUUGAUAUAUAUAUAUUUCUAACUGGCAAAUCUAAAUCUUGGCAUGCUAAUAUGCAAAUCAGUAAUAGCAUAUUAACAUUGGGACAAUGGCAUGCUGACAUUAGCAAUUAGCUCAAAGCACCACUGUGCACAGCCUCAGACUGGUGCUAGCAUGGCUAAUUGUUAAGUCUAAUAGCUGAUCUUCAUGAUGGGAUACUUCUACAUUUUAUGUUUUUGGUGGGAAUAGACUUUGUACUUUACAAAAUAAAGACAUUUUCCAAACAGUA